UCAAGUAGAGCAUAAAAUCUACUAUCUUCUAUGAUUUAAAAAGAUUUUCAUCAACUUUAUCGCUGAGACUCAGCUUAAUAAAUAAACCACAUCAUCCCUGCACCACGACCAAGAAUAUUCAUGUAAUCAUCAAUGGUCAUGAUUAUACCGAAUAAUCCCUGGUCAUAAUCAUACCAACAACUGUCCACCAAUGAACUACA
RNAcentral lists this long non-coding RNA (200 nucleotides) under Panax ginseng (ginseng). RNAcentral describes it as "long non-coding RNA (PGIN_LNC005616)". Lineage: Eukaryota; Viridiplantae; Streptophyta; Magnoliopsida; Apiales; Araliaceae. The record is from RNAcentral.